GACGAACGCUGGCGGCGUGCUUAACACAUGCAAGUCGAACGCUGAAGCUUGGUGCUUGCACUGGGUGGAUGAGUGGCGAACGGGUGAGUAAUACGUGAGUAACCUGCCCUUGACUCUGGGAUAAGCCUGGGAAACUGGGUCUAAUACUGGAUACGACAUGUCACCGCAUGGUGGYGUGUGGAAAGGGUUUUACUGGUUUUGGAUGGGCUCACGGCCUAUCAGCUUGUUGGUGGGGUAAUGGCUCACCAAGGCGACGACGGGUAGCCGGCCUGAGAGGGUGACCGGCCACACUGGGACUGAGACACGGCCCAGACUCCUACGGGAGGCAGCAGUGGGGAAUAUUGCACAAUGGGCGAAAGCCUGAUGCAGCGACGCCGCGUGAGGGAUGACGGCCUUCGGGUUGUAAACCUCUUUCAGCACGGAAGAAGCGAAAGU
This 435-nucleotide ribosomal RNA is filed under the name Kocuria rhizophila. RNAcentral's name for it is "bacterial SSU rRNA". It matches the Rfam family "Bacterial small subunit ribosomal RNA", at positions 28 to 457 of the family's 1533-position model. Lineage: Bacteria; Bacillati; Actinomycetota; Actinomycetes; Micrococcales; Micrococcaceae. The record is from RNAcentral.